This is a non-coding RNA of Peromyscus maniculatus bairdii (prairie deer mouse), 1920 nucleotides long. Lineage: Eukaryota; Metazoa; Chordata; Mammalia; Rodentia; Cricetidae. The record is from RefSeq and is a predicted model, not a curated record.
CCCCAAACUGCUGAUGCUGGCAACUGCAUUUGGCUCGAUUGUGGCAUUUCGAAAUCACAUGCAUCCUUUGUACUGCUGCGCACUCACAGAUAAUGAAAGGUUAGCCAUUGCUAAGGGGAAGCCUUUUUUUCAAUUAAGAAUCUUCGGCUUUAUCAAGGACUGAUGUAAUUUUUUGCGUCAAAAGCUAAGCUUCCCAUUUUGUUGAUUUCCAGUCCUGUUCCAGUGUCCUUUUUAAUCUAGGCUUCUAAGUGAGCUGUAGCGCAAUUGUUUGUGCUGUACCAGGGCAGCUUUCAUCAUCUGAAAAACCCUUCUGCUCAGUCGUCUAGGGCUGGUAAACAGGACCUUUACCUGCUUUGAAGAACACAGCUUUCCAAUAACAUUGAAGCCUUUUGUCUCCUGUUUUCCUACAUAUUAGAUUGGAGCAAUAAGAACCAAGUUGUGCCCUGUCUCCCUGUAGUGCAUUUUAGGAUUUAUUAAGAGACUUUCCUUGCAUAGUCACUCAGCUUUUUUAUAAACAUAUACUCUGUAAGCAAAGUAAGUGCUUUUGAACAACAACAACAAAGUAGGCCCGACCUUUAAAGUAACAACAACGACAAAAAGCAACUCAUCUUCGUUAAAAAUGGCUUGCCUGGAGAUCCAUUUAACUCAAGGGAACUUGAGACAUAUAUUCCUUUAUGAGGUAAAAUGGGGUAAUGUUUAAAUUAUGUAAGUCCUAAGAAAAUACAGAAAGAGUAAAAGAAAAGUCUUGGGACGGGAAAGUGAAGUUGAUCAGACCAGGAAACUGAACAGAAGACAGAUUCAGUAUUACAGACUUAAAACCUUUCAUAUGACCAGUGACUUUGGAACAACUUACAGGCUGCAGUCCAGCUAAUCCAAUGGCUUGCUAUGAAUGGAAAAUUCAAGAACCCAGAAGUUGCUCAGUUCACAAGGCUGGAUGUCUCAGCUGGUCUUCAUCAUACAGUGGAAUCUUCAAGUCUCUGCUGUGAGUGAAAGAAUGGACUUGCUCUCAAGGGUCUCACUAUGUACCUCUGCUUAGCCUCAAGCUCACCAAGAUCUGCCUACCCCUGCCUCUGAUCUGCUGCAAUUAAAGAUACAGUCUCACAUAAUCCUGGCCGGUCUUUCAUUGUGUUGCUGAGAAUGACCUUGAAUUACUGUUCCUCCUGCCGGGCCCAAAGACUAGAAACCAAUUAACAGUAUUUGAAGGGUUUCGAAACAACUUCUCAAAACUUUGACGCUAGAGGAGCUAUGGGAACAGUGCUACAUUUCCAUCUCUGAUUUGGGCCUCUGACAAGGAACCUUGGAAACACCCUCUUUACAACAACCUACCAUUUCCGACCAGCGAACACCCCAGUUCAGAUUCCAGAGAACUUUACAGCAGACAUCUGACUCCCGGCGUGAUCAUCACACUCCUGGUCAGAGCUGCAGCACACGAGCUGGCUGGCACUGCUGCUGGGAACUGUGACUCACUCCUUUAGGUUCUCCCCUGGUGCGGAAGGAGUCUCCGAAGGGGAAAAAGAGCAGUCUGUCAGGUGAGCUCAGCAUUGUCAGCAUCACCAGCUUCCUGAGAGACCAGGCAGUGUAAGGGAAAAGAGCACCUGUCAGACUCCUGGAAAAUCACUGUCUCAUGUGACCAUGAGAAGAUAAUUGAUGCAAUACAUCCCAUGGAAAUCUUUAAGUUGAUUAAAAUUCUUCUGAGAAUUUUUUUUCCCCAUUUGAAGAUUCAUGCAUGGAUCUUUUCUGAAGAAUGAGAUCAGUCUUUUUAUCUAAAGAAGACCACAGAAUCCUUCAUUUUCUUUGUUUUUUUCUUUUACUCCUUCAUCUUCCAUCUUAAAAAAUAAAAUUGAACUUUGUAACAAGCUUAUUUGGAACUGGAAGCUUUUAGAAAAAUGUUAAUGUAAUAAAACACAGUGACUGAUGUUA